CCUACGGGAGGCAGCAGUAGGGAAUCUUCCACAAUGGGCGAAAGCCUGAUGGAGCAACGCCGCGUGGGUGAAGAAGGUCUUCGGAUCGUAAAGCCCUGUUGUUAGAGAAGAAAGUGCGUGAGAGUAACUGUUCACGUUUCGACGGUAUCUUACCAGAAAGCGGCGGCUAACUACGUUCCAGCAGCCGCGGUAAUACGGAGGUGGCAGGCGUUAGCCGGAAGUUUUGGGGGUAAAGGGAACGCAGGCGGUGUUGUAAGUCUGAUGUGAAAGCCUUGGGGUUAACCGAAGUAAUGCAUUGGAAACUGGGAGACUUGAGUGCAGAAGAGGAGAGUGGAACUCCAUGUGUAGCGGUGAAAUGCGUAGAUAUAUGGAAGAACACCAGUGGCGAAAGCGGCUCUCUGGUCUGUAACUGACGCUGAGGUUCGAAAGCGUGGGGAGCAAACAGGAUUAGAUACCCCAGUAGUC
Molecule: ribosomal RNA, 465 nt
Filed under: uncultured bacterium
Lineage: Bacteria
Description: partial 16S ribosomal RNA
Rfam family: Bacterial small subunit ribosomal RNA
Source: RNAcentral